Molecule: non-coding RNA, 116 nt
Organism: Podarcis lilfordi (Lilford's wall lizard)
Lineage: Eukaryota; Metazoa; Chordata; Lepidosauria; Squamata; Lacertidae
Source: the annotation of a GenBank genome assembly
ACCUUAGAGACCAACUAAGUUUGUUAUUGGUAUGAGCUUUUGUGUGCAUGCACACUUCUUCAGAUCCACGCACACGAAAGCUCAUACCAAUAACAAACUUAGUUGGUCUCUAAGGU